Myxocyprinus asiaticus (Chinese sucker) is the source of this 77-nucleotide small nucleolar RNA. RefSeq annotates it as small nucleolar RNA SNORD59. The record is from RefSeq and is a predicted model, not a curated record. The transcript has a single exon. NCBI's taxonomy places the organism in Eukaryota, Metazoa, Chordata, Actinopteri, Cypriniformes, Catostomidae.
UCUUCUGUGAUGAUUUAACAGUAUGACUUUCGUUCUUCUGACUUUUUUCUGGAGCCAAUUCAUCUGUUCUGAGAAGA